ACUUGUUUCUUUUGAGUCUCCGUGGUAUAGUAGGUUGUCCCGCAAGGGAUAGAAUAUUAACUUUGCAAUAUGUGCAAGGUAGUUUCAAGGAGGAAACAAAUCGAUGACAGGUACAGUUAAGUGGUUCAACAGCAGUAAGGGUUAUGGUUUCAUCACCAAGGACGAAGGUGGAGACGUGUUUGUUCAUUUUUCAGCUAUUGAAGUCGACGGAUUCAAGACUCUCGAUGAAGGUCAGAGAGUCGAGUUCGAGAUUGGCGAAGGCCCAAAAGGUCCUCAGGCGAUAAAUGUUAAACCAAUCAGAUAAUCGUUGCGGUUAUUAAGAGCGUCCACCAGUAGGUGGACGCUUUUUU
This 350-nucleotide small RNA is filed under the name Kosmotoga olearia TBF 19.5.1. RNAcentral describes it as "cspA thermoregulator". It matches the Rfam family "cspA thermoregulator", at positions 75 to 428 of the family's 428-position model. The record is from Rfam by way of RNAcentral. Lineage: Bacteria; Thermotogati; Thermotogota; Thermotogae; Kosmotogales; Kosmotogaceae.